GGAUUAGAUACCCUGGUAGUCCUGGCCGUAAACGAUGGGCACUAGGCAAUGGCCUUACCUAUGUGGGUCAUUGCUGUAGCUAAUGUGUUAAGUGCCCCGCCUGGGGAGUACGCUCGCAAGGGUAAAACUCAAAGGAAUUGACGGGGGAUCACACAAGCGGUGGAGCAUGUGGUUUAAUUCGAAGCAACGCGAAGAACCUUACCUAGCCUUGACAUCUAUGGAUUAGUCCUGUGAAAGCAGGGUGACUGCCCUUCGGGGUCGGAACAUAGACAGGUGUUGCAUGGCUGUCGUCAGCUCGUGUCG
This 303-nucleotide ribosomal RNA is filed under the name uncultured bacterium. RNAcentral describes it as "bacterial SSU rRNA". It matches the Rfam family "Bacterial small subunit ribosomal RNA", at positions 775 to 1067 of the family's 1533-position model. The record is from RNAcentral.